This 404-nucleotide ribosomal RNA is filed under the name uncultured bacterium. RNAcentral's name for it is "bacterial SSU rRNA". It matches the Rfam family "Bacterial small subunit ribosomal RNA", at positions 355 to 775 of the family's 1533-position model. The record is from RNAcentral.
UAGGGAAUAUUGCAAAAUGGGCGCAAGCCCGAUGCAGCAACGCCGCGUGAGCGAUGAAGGCCAUCGGGUCGUAAAGCCCUUUUUGAGGGGAUGAGGAAGGACAGUACCCUCAGAAUAAGCCUCGGCUAACUACGUGCCAGCAGCCGCGGUAAAACGUAGGAGGCGAGCGUUAUACGGAUUUACUGGGCGUAAAGCGCGUGCAGGCGGAUUGGAGAGUUGGAUGUGAAAGCUCCCGGCUUAACUGGGAGAGGUCGUUCAAUACUUCCAGUCUUGAGUGCAGUAGAGGGAAGUGGAAUUCCGGGUGUAGUGGUGAAAUGCGUAGAUAUCCGGAGGAACACCAGUGGCGAAAGCGGCUUCCUGGACUGUAACUGACGCUCAGACGCGAAAGCUAGGGUAGCAAACGG